This is an RNA transcript of Salvia splendens (bonfire salvia), 5028 nucleotides long. RefSeq lists it as uncharacterized. The record is from RefSeq and is a predicted model, not a curated record. The transcript has 3 exons. Lineage: Eukaryota; Viridiplantae; Streptophyta; Magnoliopsida; Lamiales; Lamiaceae.
UGGUUUAUGGACUGGUGCCCUUGCAGCCCUAAAUUCAGCUCAGGUAUUCUUCUUCUUCUUCAAUCUUUCACGCCAAAGAAUUGCUCAGCACAACCCACCCCCUUAUGCGCACCGCCUUCCUGCCGCCGCGGCUUCCACCUUCUUUGUUCCAUAACCACUCUAUUUCAUAGCCGCAGGCCGCGCGGCACUCUUCGUUCCAUAAAUUGCGUUGAACAACCGGCAGCUCCUACUAAAUUGAGGUACAUUUCCGGCUACCCUCCUCCCUAACUUGUACACUGCCUUUACAUUUUCUGUUAGCUGUUAGAGUAUUUGAAUAUGUAUGAAUUUCUGGAAGCAUGCUUAUUUUCAUGGAAGAAUGUGUAAUGCUAGUAGAUAAGAAGGGCCUUUUUCAAUCAUUACCUCAAAUUCUUCCGUUUCUUGGAAAAGUCAUGGUGGUGGUUUUCGAAUCUGCGUGUGCAGAAUUGGUGAGCUAGUUCCUUUUCUGUUAUCCGUCUUGAAUAUGUUGCUAUUUUAACAGUCUGGGAGUGUACAAGCACUAUGGCAGGUUCUGAUUCACGAAAGGAGAUGUACGGAAAUACUAAUGAAAUGCCACUGGAAGAUUUAUUGGAUGGCACUUUAGGGAGGACGAGACCGAUGAGUUAUGAUGAGAUAAUGCUUAGAAGAAAAAAGAAGGGAGAUGCUGCUCAACAGGUUUCCAGUAGCUCUGAAGCACCUGGUAGUGAAUUAGCACAAGACAACAUAGAAAGGGCAUCUGAUGUUCCAGAAGUUCAUUCCCGAAUAUUUGAUGAUUCAAAACCACCGGUUGAAAGCAGAAACAUAAAUGAUACUGUGAAGGCAAGGUCUGGGAGAAAAGUGGAUACUAAUGCCACUAGAAAGAAUGAGAAAUUAGUCCAGGAUAAUGAUGACCGAUCUCUAUAUCCUGAUGCUAAGUCAAAGGAGAAAGGAGACGGGAUUCUGAGACACAGUAGAGUGUCAGAUGAAAAUUUUGACUGAAGAAGUCAUGGCAGCCGAAAAAAAAAGAUGACCUCUUAAGUGUUAAUUCUGAUAACGGACGUGACAAGAGGAAAGAUAGUGAAUCAUAUAAACAGGAUAGAAUUUCUGAAAGAAGCAGAGUCAAAUCUGAAAUAGUAAAAGCAAAACCACUUAAUGAGGAGACUGGAGAGACAGGUUGACAGAAAGAGGAAACCAGAUGACCGGAUAGGCAGUGAUUCUGAUAAUGAGCAUAAGAAAAGAAACGUAAGAGAUGUUAGGCAGAUAGAGAACUUACCUGCUAGGGGCAGAGAUAAAUCUGUCAAGGAAAAGAAACACAAACACCAUCCCGAGGAAGAUAAAUCUAGGGGCAGGGAUAAUGUUAAAAUGAAUGAUUCUGUAAGGAAAGGAUCAGAACAAACAAGGAGCUAUCUUGAAGAAUCCAGGUCGAAAAGAAGACGGUCACGGAGCAAAGAUCGCGAGAAAGACAGAGGUAGAAGAUCUCUUUCACAAUCACCAAAGGCUUACAAGCACACAUUGAAAGAUAAGAGGGAGCUUGCAGAACCAUCAUCCCAUUCUACAAAAGACAAAUCAGGAAGAGAGCACUCUAAUACUGAUAACAAGUGGACACCCAGUAAUGGAUCUAAUAGCCACUACAGGCGUAAUACUAACAAUUCAAGUGGUCUUGGAGGCUAUUCACCCAGAAAGAGGAAAACAGAGGCUGCUGCUAAAACACCUUCCCCAAUCCGUCGUUCUCCAGAGAAAAGAGCUGCUGGAUGGGAUUUACAGCCUGUUGAAAAAGAGUGUGAUGGCUACAUCAACUCUGUUCAAUUUGAAUGCUAUGAGCCAAAAAUCAUUAUCGUAUAAUAUGGAGUACCCCACUAUAACUCCUACUGUGGUGAAGCCGAUUGGAAUUUCACUCCAUACCAUAUCUUCACAGCUGCAUGCUGUUGAGUCAAUUCAGCUAACUCAAGCGACAAGACCUAAGAUGAGGCUUUACAUAGAAAACUUGCCUCUUUCAGCAUCUGAGAAAGAUUUAACAGAAUGCAUUAACAAGCGCUUGCUGUCAUCUGGUGUUAACUAUGUUCCGGGAACCCAGCCCUGUAUUGGCUGUAUAAUACAUAAGGAGAAAAGCCAAGCUCUUUUGGAGUUUCUGACCCUGAGGAUGCUUCUGCUGCUCUCUCUUUAGAUGGAAUAUCCUUUUCUGGUUCCAAUCUUAAUUCUUAAACUCGUGCCCAAAGGACUAUGCUAAUGUAACUACUGGGUCUUCUGACAAAUCUGUGCCUGAUGUUGUUUCAAUCAGUGGCAUCGUAGAAGAUUCACCCCACAAGGUAUGCUCUGAAACAUCAUACCAUCACAGGAUGUGUUUUAAAAUGUUGGUUCAUGCACCAGCAAAUAUUAUUCAUAAUUUUUCAUAUUGGUCAAGUAUUCAUUAUUGCAUUAAAGGGGAGUUAUUUGAAGUUUAUGAGGAAGUAGUUUUUAUUCAGUUAUUGUAUUUCUUAUCUUUAUUUCCUUAGUUUAUGUAUAGAUCCCUUGAGGUAUGAGUGGGGUGUGAGGUCUAGAGUUUAGUUUAAGGAUGGUAAUUUUCCCUAGGGCCUUGUUAGAGGAUUUGCCUUGUAAGAGUACUAUCAUUGUUCAUCUCAGUUCAUAUUUCUAUUUCCUAUCAUAUUUCUGUUCGUGUGUUUCCCUUUUUGUGGUUGCUGUGUUUUAUGACUUAUGCUUCUAAUGUGGACAUAUUAGCAAGUGCAUUUGGUGGAUCCGCCUUUCACUCCGUGACAGCUGAAAAUGAAAGAUCUAUAACAGAAACUAGAAAAACUCUAGUAUGAGUGUGAACUCUGAAGCAAGUGUUUUUAGUGAGAAAACUAAGUCAGGGCGAAGCUCCAAACUGUAAAUAUGAGCUGCUAAGUUGGUGCACCAGAAACCCUGCUCCUGUCAUAUUCAUUUAUCUUGUGUUGGAAUUUACUCAUGCUUUGAUCAUGACAAAGAAGACUAACUUAUGACCUUUAAUGUUACUAGUUACUGAAAAGAAUAAGUUGGAACCUUUAACGAUGACAUUAGAUUUGAACUAUUAUAAUCACAAACCUCCAGAGUUUACUUUCAGCUAUGACACUCUUAUUUGGAUGCUAAGACUUCUGAAUCAACUCCUCUCUCUAGAGAUUAGCUGGAUAAGGUUUUUUUUCUGAUGCUCAUUAUUUGUUAUGUAGUAUCAGUUACAUGCCUUUGAAGUCACUAAAUGAUCAACAUACUGAGGUGAUAUAUAAUUGGUUUCUCACCUUACACACACAAGAGGGAGAGAGAUCCAAAAGGAUGUAAAAGACUGAAAUCAAGCUUAAGAUGCAGCACUCCCUAGAAAACUAAGGGCGCAAACACGGUAAAGACAGAAGACGCACGAAUUUUGACUGCUUAGGUUUUAUCUAUGCAUUGCAGAACUCUCUUCAACCCUAAAAAAUCGUACCUCGAGAAAUGCACACGGUUCAUUUGUAUCAGCGAUAUGCUGAAAGUGGAAUGCUUUCACGAGUCCAAAGGCUCUGGCAAUCUCCAAAAGCUGAAAAGAGCACUAAAAAAUUAGUGAGAUACGACAUAAUAAAACAAAAUAAGUUUGAUAGAAAACAAGAUUACAUGUUAGUUUACCAUUCUAGAAGACAAUAGUUUCGAUAUGCCACCAACAAAGAUCAGAAAAGUGAAACAAAAGCUUGUAUCUUAUUAUGUUCCAGCUUUCCUUCUCUCUCCCUUUAAUUCUAAUCCAUGUUCUAAUUCUUUGAAGUAACAUCAUAUUACUUAUGCCCUUACAACUUGCAGUUCAAUCCUGAUGAUUCAUUGUCUGAAUUAGAGCUAGAAGAAUUAUUGGAAGAUAUAAGGUUGGAGUGUUCCAGGGUGACAUAACUAAAGAUUUAGUGAGUUCAGUGUACUUUUUGUUUUUGCUCACAUACUUUUCUUAAAUUUCUUUAUACUGUAGGUUUGGUAUGGUGAGAUCUAUAAAUGUUGCCAAGAAAACAAAUGUUGUUGGCACCAUGGAAUGUAACGAGGUAAGUAACACGAGUGCUGCUACUGAUGCAUAUGGCUUUCAGUUUGCAAAUAGGAGCCGUAGGGACGAACAACCUAGUGAGAGUACUUCUAGGCUUAGAGAUUCUGAGAAAUCGGAACCUCUGGAUGAUGCCCCAGAUGAACUGAUGUGAUAAUAUUGCUGUCUCAUCUGAUGUGUCAAGUGGACCACUUGAUCCCGAGAAUAUAACUAGGUUCAGUGUGGUUGAUGAAUGCUUGCCUAAUGAGAUAACUGCUGGCAAUAAUACAAGAGAUGAAGUGUGUGAACUACCUUUGAAUGGUGAAGAUGCUUCUUUCAAAGAACCCCCAAGCCAAUCAAUCCAUGAAGAAUUUGGUAACCAACUAAAUAAUACAGAUACUGAGCUGAUAAGCAAUAAUUCAAGUUCGACUUCUGUGGUGAACUAUGAACUUCAAACCAAACCUUCUACCGAAGACUUGAAAUCAGAAGAGCAUGAUGCAAAACUACAAAGUUCUUUGGAAGCGUUGGAAAUAGAAGAGAGAAACAAAUCGGUAAAUGUUGAGUUGGACAUGAUUGACAGAAUUCAAUUGGAUGCUCCGGGGGAAGGUGACAGAAAUGAUGCUUUUGUGGAUCCUGGGCAUAUCUUUGAGCCUGGCUCUGUAAUUGUAGAAUAUCGAAGACUGGAAGCUGCUUGUAUGGCCGCACAUUGUCUACACGGACGUACAUUUGAUGGCCGUGUUGUGACUGUGGAAUACGUUGGUCAUGACUUGCACCAGAUGAGAUUCUGCAGGUAAGAAUGAUAUGGGCAUUGCUAGUUGAUGGUGCGGAACUGAUGGCGAGAAGCAAGCUUUUUCGCGCCGUUAAUAUGUUAUGUUGUUCUUCUAGUGCGAGUGCCAUUUGAACAUUACUCAGUAUAGCCAUCUGCAUUACUAAGUAGAGAAUGGUUGGCACCGGAAAGUGGGACAUGUUUGGUUAGACUGUUAUGUAAAACACUACACAUUUUCUUCAUUAAUAGUUUUUCCUAGAAGAAGAUGAUGCCAUUAUUGUUGCAUCUGUAA